CGAGUAGCGACCGCAUGGUCAGUUACUGGANNNNNUUAUUGGUUGGGGAUGGGCUCGCGGCCUUUCAGCUUGUUGGUGAGGUAAUGGCUCACCAAGGCGUCGACGGGUAGCCGGCCUGAGAGGGUGACNNNCCACACUGGGACUGAGACACGGCCCAGACUCCUACGGGAGGCAGCAGUGGGGAAUAUUGCACAAUGGGCGCAAGCCUGAUGCAGCAACGCCGCGUGAGGGAUGACGGCCUUCGGGUUGUAAACCUCUUUUAGCAGGGAAGAAGCGAAAGUGACGGUACCUGCAGAAAAAGCGCCGGCUAACUACGUGCCAGCAGCCGCGGUAAUACGUAGGGCGCAAGCGUUAUCCGGAAUUAUUGGGCGUAAAGAGCUCGUAGGCGGUUUGUCGCGUCUGCUGUGAAAUCCGGAGGCUCAACCUCCGGCCUGCAGUGGGUACGGGCAGACUAGAGUGCGGUAGGGGAGAUUGGAAUUCCUGGUGUAGCGGUGGAAUGCGCAGAUAUCAGGAGGAACACCGAUGGCGAAGGCAGAUCUCUGGGCCGUAACUGACGCUGAGGAGCGAAAGGGUGGGGAGCAAACAGGCUUAGAUACCCUGGUAGUCCACCCCGUAAACGUUGGGAACUAGUUGUGGGGUCCAUUCCACGGAUUCCGUGACGCAGCUAACGCAUUAAGUUCCCCGCCUGGGGAGUACGGCCGCAAGGCUAAAACUCAAAGGAAUUGACGGGGACCCGCACAAGCGGCGGAGCAUGCGGAUUAAUUCGAUGCAACGCGAAGAACCUUACCAAGGCUUGACAUAUACGAGAACGGGCCAGAAAUGGUCAACUCUUUGGACACUCGUAAACAGGUGGUGCAUGGUUGUCGUCAGCUCGUGUCGUGAGAUGUUGGGUUAAGUCCCGCAACGAGCGCAACCCUCGUUCUAUGUUGCCAGCACGUAAUGGUGGGAACUCAUGGGAUACUGCCGGGGUCAACUCGGAGGAAGGUGGGGAUGACGUCAAAUCAUCAUGCCCCUUAUGUCUUGGGCUUCACGCAUGCUACAAUGGCCGGUACAAAGGGCUGCAAUACCGCGAGGUGGAGCGAAUCCCAAAAAGCCGGUCCCAGUUCGGAUUGAGGUCUGCAACUCGACCUCAUGAAGUCGGAGUCGC
RNAcentral lists this ribosomal RNA (1147 nucleotides) under Microbacterium oxydans. RNAcentral's name for it is "bacterial SSU rRNA". It matches the Rfam family "Bacterial small subunit ribosomal RNA", at positions 173 to 1335 of the family's 1533-position model. The record is from RNAcentral. Lineage: Bacteria; Bacillati; Actinomycetota; Actinomycetes; Micrococcales; Microbacteriaceae.